CACCAAGAAUGAAUGCACAAGAGACACUGCUAAUGUCCUCUUUCUAUGGUUAAAUUCCGUAGCUUUC
This 67-nucleotide transfer RNA is filed under the name Danionella mirifica. Its description in RNAcentral is "tRNA-Ser". Lineage: Eukaryota; Metazoa; Chordata; Actinopteri; Cypriniformes; Danionidae. The record is from RNAcentral.